CCUACGGGAGGCAGCAGUGAGGAAUAUUGGUCAAUGGGCGCGAGCCUGAACCAGCCAAGUAGCGUGAAGGAUGACUGCCCUACGGGUUGUAAACUUCUUUUAUAAAGGAAUAAAGUGAGGCACGUGUGCCUGUUUGUAUGUACUUUAUGAAUAAGGAUCGGCUAACUCCGUGCCAGCAGCCGCGGUAAUACGGAGGAUCCGAGCGUUAUCCGGAUUUAUUGGGUUUAAAGGGAGCGUAGAUGGGUUGUUAAGUUAGUGGUGAAAGCUUGCGGCUCAACCGUAAAAUUGCAAUUGAUACUGGCAGGCUUGAGUAUAGUUGAGGUAGGCGGAAUUCGUGGUGUAGCGGUGAAAUGCAUAGAGAUCACGAAGAACUCCGAUUGCGAAGGCAGCUUACUAAACUGCCACUGACAUUGAUGCUCGAAAGUGUGGGUAUCAAACAGGAUUAGAUACCCUAGUAGUC
This 460-nucleotide ribosomal RNA is filed under the name uncultured bacterium. RNAcentral's name for it is "partial 16S ribosomal RNA". It matches the Rfam family "Bacterial small subunit ribosomal RNA", at positions 338 to 795 of the family's 1533-position model. The record is from RNAcentral.